UACGUAGGGUGCGAGCGUUGUCCGGAAUUAUUGGGCGUAAAGAGCUUGUAGGCGGUUUGUCGCGUCUGCUGUGAAAUCUCAAGGCUCAACCUUGAGCUUGCAGUGGGUACGGGCAGACUAGAGUGUGGUAGGGGAGACUGGAAUUCCUGGUGUAGCGGUGAAAUGCGCAGAUAUCAGGAGGAACACCGAUGGCGAAGGCGGCUCACUGGCCCGGUACUGACGCUGAGGUGCGAAAGCGUGGGGAGCAAGCAGG
RNAcentral lists this ribosomal RNA (253 nucleotides) under uncultured bacterium. RNAcentral describes it as "partial 16S ribosomal RNA". It matches the Rfam family "Bacterial small subunit ribosomal RNA", at positions 524 to 776 of the family's 1533-position model. The record is from RNAcentral.